AUUGAACGCUGGCGGCAUGCCUUACACAUGCAAGUCGAACGGCAGCACGGGAGCAAUCCUGGUGGCGAGUGGCGAACGGGUGAGUAAUAUAUCGGAACGUGCCUAGUAGUGGGGGACAACCAGUCGAAAGAUUGGCUAAUACCGCAUACGCACUCUGGUGGAAAGUGGGGGAUCGAAAGACCUCACGCUAUUAGAGCGGCCGAUAUCAGAUUAGGUAGUUGGUGGGGUAAAAGCCUACCAAGCCAACGAUCUGUAGCUGGGCUGAGAGGACGACCAGGCACACUGGGACUGCGACACGGCCCAGACUCCUACGGGAGGCAGCAGUGGGGAAUUUUGGACAAUGGGCGCAAUCCUGAUCCAGCCAUGCCGCGUGUGGGAAGAAGGCCUUCGGGUUGUAAACCACUUUUGUCAGGGAAGAAACGGCUUUGGUUGAAUAGGCAGGUCUGAGGACGUUACCCCAAGAAUAAGCACCGGCUAACUCUGUGCCAGCCGCCGCGGUAA
This 501-nucleotide ribosomal RNA is filed under the name uncultured bacterium. RNAcentral describes it as "partial 16S ribosomal RNA". It matches the Rfam family "Bacterial small subunit ribosomal RNA", at positions 30 to 523 of the family's 1533-position model. The record is from RNAcentral.